This 73-nucleotide transfer RNA is filed under the name Solirubrobacterales bacterium. RNAcentral's name for it is "tRNA-Thr". It matches the Rfam family "tRNA". Rfam says of the family: Transfer RNA (tRNA) molecules are approximately 80 nucleotides in length. Their secondary structure includes four short double-helical elements and three loops (D, anti-codon, and T loops). Lineage: Bacteria; Bacillati; Actinomycetota; Thermoleophilia; Solirubrobacterales. The record is from RNAcentral.
GCCGGAGUAGCUCAGCUGGUAGAGCAGCUGUCUUGUAAACAGCAGGCCACGGGUUCGAGUCCCGUCUCCGGCU